RNAcentral lists this long non-coding RNA (1657 nucleotides) under Equus asinus (donkey). Its description in RNAcentral is "lncRNA (ENSEASG00005031043.1)". Lineage: Eukaryota; Metazoa; Chordata; Mammalia; Perissodactyla; Equidae. The record is from RNAcentral.
UGCUUUAAUCCAUCCAUUUUUUAUUGGAGAAGUACUGAUUGAGUGCAAAUUGUGUGUCAGGCACUGUACUCAGAGCUGGUGAUUCAGGGAUGCACAUAAUGGAGAUUGUUCCUGCCUUUAUGGACCAGUAUCCAGGGACCUGAAUGGAAAGGCAUUAGAAAUAAUGCAAUAUAGGUAGAAGACUUUUUCAAUAAUUCAGGGGUAUUAUGGCCUGAAAGUAGGUGUUGGCAAUAGCAUUGAAAAGCAAAGUGUCUAUUCCAGGGAAUUUUUGAGGUAGAUUUUAUAGUUUUAAAUUUCAAGGAUGACAAAAAAGGAAAGACACUAAAGGAAAAGAAAAAUUAGGAUGGGGAUAUAUUUUCUUUCUUUCUUUCUUUCUUUUUUUUUUUUAAAGAUUGGCACCUGAGUUAACAUCUGUUGCGACUCUUCUUCUUCUUCUUUUUCUUCUCCUCAAAGCUUGCAUAUUCUAGUUGCAGGUCCUUCUAGUUGUGCUUUGUGGGAUGCCACCUCAGCUGGCUUGAUGAGUGGUGCCACGUCUGCACCCAGGAUCCAAAACUGCGAAACCCUGGGCCACCGAAGCAGAGCACUCAUAACCACUCUGCCCGGGGGAUAUAUUUUCUGUAUGCUUAUUGUUAGUGAUGAAACAUAGCAGAGUGAUCAGAUUAGACCUGUGACCAAAAUCAGAAAAAAAAAAAAUAGGUAGAAUGAUUUAUCACCUGAAGGAAAAAUGUCUACUAAUGAGCUCUCUCAGAAAAUGAAUUUGGUAGGUUUGUGAAGACCCCUGUUGGAGUCAUCUAAAAAAGCAGUAGAUCUCCCCUCAUUCCUUUGCCGUUGAAAUUUCAGUACCCAGUAGAAGGAAUGAUCUUCUUGGGUUUAUACUCCUUUCCAACUUAGAUUUCAUGGUUGUUACAGUAAAAAAUAAUUUAAAUUUUGGAGUCUGUCUCAUUCUCAAAGUGGUGAUUUAAGCAAAACCUAGACAAGUAAGACAAGCAAAAAAAUCCCCCCUAAACAAACAAGUGAAAUCAGCACUUUUUUGUGACUGCAUGUUUGGUGAUAGAAAAGUCAGAUAUUUGGUAUAGAGUGAGAAGAAAGGCUAUAUUUGGAUUUAUAAACUUACAGGCAUAGAAGUUUAUUUAUAGAUGCAUAGCUGUUAGCCAGAAUUUCUAGAUCUCAGCACUAUUGACAUUUUGGAACAGAUGUUUCUUUGUUGUUGAGGGUUGUUCUGUGCCCUGUAGAAUCAGCAGCAUCCUUGGUUUCUACCACUAGAUGCCAAGAUCAUCUCCCAGCCCCAAAGUCUUGACAAUUGAAAAUGUCUCUGGACAGUGUCAACUGUCUCCAAGAGUCCAAGAGGGUGAAAUCACCGCCAGCUGAGAACUACUGACAUAGCUGUGUUGAUAGUUUCAUUCUUUCUGUUUCUGUCUUUCCUGUAGUGCAGAAAGAAGAUGAGCCCUAAAGUAGACGCUGUGAAAAAGCAGGGUGGCCCUGAGAGGAACACUAGAACUCCUUCUUUUAGGGAGUCUCUUUAUGCAUGCAGAUGCUUGAUCCUGGGACAAGAACCACGUGUGAUCUCUCUUUGCAACCUUACAGUUCCCAGGACAGCACCUUGCCUGUGGCGUGUGCUUAGUGUCUGUGGAAUUCAGCUGAGUUGCUGAAGAAAUGC